GGAAUUUUUGUCCAUAACUAAAACCGUACGCACUUCAAUCAAUAGUAUAUGCGGUAUUCAAUUGGACCAUAUAAAACUUAUGGUUAACUAUUCCUCUUAAGGAUAUCGUUUCGAAGAUAUCUCCUUAAUAAAGUUAAAAACCAACAGUAGCUCAUA
Molecule: small nucleolar RNA, 156 nt
Organism: Zeugodacus cucurbitae (melon fly)
Lineage: Eukaryota; Metazoa; Arthropoda; Insecta; Diptera; Tephritidae
Source: RefSeq, a predicted model, not a curated record